CUCACUCAAGAACCCAGCCCCCAUAGUGUGAGGAGGCCUAGGACAGUUACAGAAGCCAUGUGUAUAACCUCAUCCUGGAGCAGGGCACCCUAUCGUCAGAUGGUAUCAUCUUUAAGGGGUUGUCUCAGCCAUGCCUUUAGAAUUACCUUUCAUUGCUUGUCAUGCUGGAAGCUUCUGAAUGUUGCAUUUUGUGAUAGAAACAGUGGGUACCAUGGUCAUGUGCUCACAUCUCCUUUGCGGUAAAGAAAAGGAUCACUCAUUAACAUCCACCAGAUAACAUUCUCCAUGAAAGCACCAAAUAAGGUUUGUCUUGGUCCAUUUUAUGCUGCUAUAACAGAACACCACAGACUGAGAAAUUUAUAAGGAAUAGAAGUUUAUUUGCCUCAUGUUUCUGGAGGCUGGGAAUUCCAAGAUCAAGGGGCUGCAUAGAUUGAGGUCCUUUUUGCUGACUCAUAACGUGGAAAGAGAGUGCACUGCAUAGAAGAAAGGAGGCCAAACUCAUUCUUUUAUCAUGAGCCUACUCCUGAAAUAACUCACUCUCAAGAUAAUGGCAUUAAUCCAUUCAUGAAGGCAGAAUACUCAUGAUGUAAUCACCUCUUAAAAGGUCCUAUUUCCUAACACUGUUGCAUUAGGGAUUAAGCUGUCAACACAUGAAUAUUGGGGGACACAUUCAAACCAUAGCAAGAGUUCUUUGUCUUUGUGACUCGGUGUGGUUCAGCAAAUUGCGAUUGGUCUGCUAUAGCGGACUUUCCCCUCACCUCCCAAAUGUUUAUUAUGAAAAAUUUCAUUUUAAAGAAAGGUGGAAGGAAUUGUUGAAAGAAUAUGUCAUCUAGUUUCUACUGUUGUUAACAUUGUGUCAUAUUUGCCUUUUCAUCCAUCCAACCACCCAUCCAUCUAGCUACCUUAUAAUUACUAUUAUUACUUAUUAUUACUAUUAUUUUUAAAGACACCUCUAUUAAAGCAACCAUCUUAUUUUUUGAUUUUA
This is a long non-coding RNA of Homo sapiens (human), 985 nucleotides long. Lineage: Eukaryota; Metazoa; Chordata; Mammalia; Primates; Hominidae. The record is from Ensembl.